RNAcentral lists this unclassified non-coding RNA (242 nucleotides) under Hevea brasiliensis (rubber tree). Lineage: Eukaryota; Viridiplantae; Streptophyta; Magnoliopsida; Malpighiales; Euphorbiaceae. The record is from RNAcentral.
GCCAUCUAAGGUGGGGCGGUUAACCAGUCUUGAAAGAUUAUCCUUGUUUGCUGUGGGUACAGAUAGGGGAGGUAGCAUUGAAGAACUAGAAUGCUUAAACCAACUAAGCAGCGAGUUGGAGAUAAGUUAUCUUGAGGAGGUGAGAAACAAAGAAGAAGCAAAGAAAUCAAAUCUACAGGGGAAAACGAAAUUGAAAGCCCUUCAUUUUAGAUGGAGAUUUGAAUGGAAUUUUGAAAGAGAAA